CGGCACGGGUGAGUAACACGUGUCCAACCUGCCGUCUACUCUUGGACAGCCUUCUGAAAGGAAGAUUAAUACAAGAUGGCAUCAUGAGUCCGCAUGUUCACAUGAUUAAAGGUAUUCCGGUAGACGAUGGGGAUGCGUUCCAUUAGAUAGUAGGCGGGGUAACGGCCCACCUAGUCUUCGAUGGAUAGGGGUUCUGAGAGGAAGGUCCCCCACAUUGGAACUGAGACACGGUCCAA
Molecule: ribosomal RNA, 236 nt
Filed under: uncultured bacterium
Lineage: Bacteria
Description: partial 16S ribosomal RNA
Rfam family: Bacterial small subunit ribosomal RNA
Source: RNAcentral